CUUAGGUUCUCUCGCAACGCUAAACUGCAAACCCCGCCAGGCCCGGAAGGGAGCAACGGUAGUGGUGGAUGCGUGUGCCGGGAUGUGGCUUUUGGGG
RNAcentral lists this signal recognition particle RNA (97 nucleotides) under Vreelandella arcis. Its description in RNAcentral is "Halomonas arcis Bacterial small signal recognition particle RNA". It matches the Rfam family "Bacterial small signal recognition particle RNA". From Rfam's summary of the family: The signal recognition particle (SRP) is a universally conserved ribonucleoprotein involved in the co-translational targeting of proteins to membranes. The record is from RNAcentral. Lineage: Bacteria; Pseudomonadati; Pseudomonadota; Gammaproteobacteria; Oceanospirillales; Halomonadaceae.